Molecule: long non-coding RNA, 3055 nt
Filed under: Salvia miltiorrhiza (redroot sage)
Lineage: Eukaryota; Viridiplantae; Streptophyta; Magnoliopsida; Lamiales; Lamiaceae
Description: long non-coding RNA (SMIL_LNC006499)
Source: RNAcentral
UGACAUAUUGAGAAAAUGAAGGCAAAGGAAAUCAGCCACCCUAAUGAUAGGAGCAAGAUUUGACAAAAACGUCACUAUUCAUAUACCUAUAAAUAAUUAAUUAAAUGAAAAUUUUAUUUUACUUGUACCGCAAUCAGAAAAUUAAAAAUAUCUAAAAAUGUGAGGCUAUUAUCGAAUCCGAGCCUAUCUUAGUAUCUAAGCAAAAAAGUUGUACAAUUUUGAAUAAUAGAGCCACUGCCACACAUCUCCCUUCAAAUAUUGAUUGUAAAUGUUGAUUAAUUAGCUCGAGACUUCAUCUAGAAGCUUAUACCUUCUCACCUUAUUUCUAAAAACUGGUCUAAUAAUCCUCUCAGGUAUCACGCCGCGAUCGCUCGUCACCCUCUUCCUGCCGGCCAGCGGUGGCGGCGCAGCUCGAUCGGGCGCCGGCGAUUUAUUCUGCUUCUUGAUUCUGUUAUCAAUUGCUCUUCUAUCGCCAUGAUUGACGUCGAUCUUACCCUUUUUGAUCUUCAUGUCGCUAAUUUUGGUUUUGUGAGAUGAAUUUUGGGACGAUUUUGUGGUCUCUUCUCCUUUGUGAUUGUGAUCAUCUUUUUGGCUAAGGCACCAGUUGCAAAUGUUGUAGGUUUCAGCUCCCGGGUACAGAUUGCUACAAUAUCUACGACAUUUAUGCUCGAUUAAAUCAAACCUAAAGUGAAGAAUAUGUAUUACUACUACUUACUUAUGUUGUGAUCGAAACUCGCAGCCGCUACACGAGAAAAGCUCCGAAGAGAGGCCAUGAUCUCCACACAUACAACAUUCCACUGCUGCUCCUUCUACUUCACUGUUUCUUCCCAUUUAUAUGUAUAUGUAUAUGUGAAUUAUGAUGAGAAGAGAGAGAGAGAGAGAAAUAAUGUGUGUAUAUAUAUACAUAUAUAUUUUGGAGAGAGAGAGAGAGAGAGAGAGAGGAAGUAAGUUACGUAGUAGUAUAGUAGUACUANAUGAUGAGAGAGAGAGAGAGAGAGAAAUAAUAGUAUGUAUAUAUAUAUAUACAUAUAUAUUUGUAGAGAGAGAGAGAGAGAGAGGAAAUUUGACGUUGAUAUGGUAUCAUAUUCAUUUUUCAGAAGUCUUGUUCCGUGUGAGAUAAGUUAGAAAAAUAAAUAAAUAUAUGCCACGAUUAGUGGCAUGAAAAAGAAGGGUGGGGGCUCACCACUCACAACUUUUAUUUCCUUCUAAUAAAUUGUCUUUCCUACUAAGCUUUAGGUUUUUGCCGUGUUUAGUAAAGUUUGAUUAGACGUCUUAACAAACAUAAGUCUAAGUACUAUAUUCUCUUAAUGUGAAAUCACGUUUGUAUUUGGAAUAACAAAAUUAAAUUUGGUAUGAGUAAAUUAAUAAAUUAAUUAUGCCAUAGAAAAGGAGGGGAAAAAAAUUGUUUUAAUGAUAUACUUUCUAUGAUUGAUACAUGCCAUGGAAUACUGGAAUAAUAAUUUAUUUCUUUGUUUUCGUUUUGUUAUUCAUAUAAGACUUAGUAUAUUAAAAUACCCACUUCUAUAAUAUGUCUAUGAAAAAUACCCACCCCCUAGGGUGGGUAUUUUUCAUAGACAUAUUAUGGGGGUGGGUACUUUUAAUUCCACCCCUUCAUAUAAACUCACUCAUAUGAUUAAUUUUCCUUUUAUCAGUGUAAAAUCUAGAAUUAUAGUUAGUGUGAAGAAUUCUAGUGAAACUGUGUACAUUAAUUAGAUUAUGAUCAAUAAAAUAGUAGCAAUAUAAAUUUCAACUAAACAAUAUAAUUGUAAGUAUAUAUAGCAAUCAAAUCAUCUUAUAUAUUCACAUGGACUGAAAUCAUGAAAACAUGAUGGGUAACCAAAUACAGACAUCUUACUGUGGCUCUUUUUUUUGACUUGGGGGAGUUGGGGAGGGGAGCAGUGGGGUUUGAACCCGGGACCUCACUGUUCACACACAGGAGGUCGCACCGCUUGGUGUCCCAUUGGGGACAACUAUGGCUAAAUUAUCAAGAGAAGAGAUUUUUAUAACUAGACAAAUAACUAUAAAGUUGCAAAAGAAAUAAAAUCAAAUAAAUAACAGACUCACGUAAAAACUAAUGAAAGAAAUAUUGAUAAUCGGAAAUGUGAUGACUCAACUAGAAAGCUUUCACAAAUAAUCGCACAUUCUCUAUUUUUGUUGGGUCUCAAGAAAAUCUAUUAACUCUCAAAAGUUAACUAAGAACAAUUUCCUAUGAUCCACUUAUUUCCCUUUGGUUUCAAGACAAAAGUCAUAUGUAUUCUUGAAUCGGUUGAACAAUUAUCCCUGUCGUUUUCAAAUGGAACAACUAAACAUGCAAAAUAUUGAUCAAGUAAUUUACAAGGAACAAGUACCAUAAAUCAUAAAUACUCAUUCCGUCCAUGAUAUCGUUUCCACUUUUGCCAUUUUGGUUCGUCUACAAUUCCAUUUCCACUUCUAUUUAUAGUUAUAGGGUCCCACAACUUACUCAUAAUAAUAGUGGGAUUCAACCUCCACUAAUAACAAUACCCACUAUUAUAUCCACAAUUUUCUUAAAACUCGUGUCGUCCACAAAGUGAAAAUGAUAUCGUGAACGGAUGGAGUAAUAAAUUAUAGACGGAAAGGCAAUAUUGUAUCAAUAAAUCAAAAACAUAAAAUCAAUUAAGUCAUACAACUCUAAAAUCAGAUAAAAACUAAGCUAGACAUAAUUAAGUAAGAAUAAAACAUAAUUAAGUGUGUGUGUUGGCCAAGCGGUAAGGGGUUAAUGCCCAAGGCCAAAGGUCUUGGGUUCGAGUCCCCUGUGGUGCGGUCUUUAAAUUUUUUUAUUUAAUACUGUUAAUUUAUCAAUAAUAAUAAUAAAAUGAUGCAUCCAUCAUAGAUAUUAAUGAUCGAAUGGCUGAAAAUGAUUCAUCGUUCUUAUUUUAUUUAUUUGAACUUCUCUAUAUAUAUAUAUAUUUCAAGCUUUAACAUUUUCUUGUAGUAAAUUGUAAUUGGAUUUUAGGUUACUUGUAAUUUAUGGUCCUAAUUUUAAAAUCAUGUGUAAAAAUGAUUCGAACUUAUACUUUUGAGUUGAAUUAUGAUG